CCAGUUGGUCGGCUCUUACUUCCUGUGGAAGGACGUGUCACUUGGGGAGGACAUGCCUCUCCAUGUAUUCAUGACUUUUUUCCAGCCCCGGAUCAUAGGGAAGGAGUCCAGGGGGUGGUAUUAUAUUACACCUUGGGGGGCUCACGCACCCUUUGUGGUGGGAUUGCCUUCCUCCAUUAAGGGAUGGAAGGAGUCCUGGUUCUGGGUGCGGGGAAAAUGGCAGGCAGUGGAGGGGGACAA
Molecule: long non-coding RNA, 240 nt
Filed under: Olea europaea (common olive)
Lineage: Eukaryota; Viridiplantae; Streptophyta; Magnoliopsida; Lamiales; Oleaceae
Description: long non-coding RNA (OEUR_LNC014856)
Source: RNAcentral